Molecule: ribosomal RNA, 497 nt
Filed under: uncultured bacterium
Lineage: Bacteria
Description: partial 16S ribosomal RNA
Rfam family: Bacterial small subunit ribosomal RNA
Source: RNAcentral
GAUGAACGCUGGCGGCGUGCCUAAUACAUGCAAGUCGAGCGAACGGACGAGAAGCUUGCUUCUCUGAUGUUAGCGGCGGACGGGUGAGUAACACGUGGAUAACCUACCUAUAAGACUGGGAUAACUUCGGGAAACCGUAGCUAAUACCGGAUAAUAUUUUGAACCGCAUGGUUCAAAAGUGAAAGACGGUCUUGCUGUCACUUAUAGAUGGAUCCGCGCUGCAUUAGCUAGUUGGUAAGGUAACGGCUUACCAAGGCAACGAUGCAUAGCCGACCUGAGAGGGUGACCGGCCACACUGGAACUGAGACACGGCCCAGACUCCUACGGGAGGCAGCAGUAGGGAAUCUUCCGCAAUGGGCGAAAGCCUGAUGGAGCAACGCCGCGUGAGUGAUGAAGGUCUUCGGAUCGUAAAACUCUGUUAUCAGGGAAGAACAUAUGUGUAAGUAACUGUGCACAGCUUGACGGUACCUAAUCAGAAAGCCACGGCUAACUACGUG